RNAcentral lists this ribosomal RNA (521 nucleotides) under uncultured Glomeraceae. RNAcentral describes it as "SSU rRNA". It matches the Rfam family "Eukaryotic small subunit ribosomal RNA", at positions 569 to 1092 of the family's 1831-position model. The record is from RNAcentral. Lineage: Eukaryota; Fungi; Glomeromycota; Glomeromycetes; Glomerales; Glomeraceae.
AGCAGCCGCGGUAAUUCCAGCUCCAAUAGCGUAUAUUAAAGUUGUUGCAGUUAAAAAGCUCGUAGUUGAAUUUCGGGAUCAAUACGUCGGUCGUGCUUCGGUAUGUACUGGCGUCAUUGGUUUCUCCCUUCUGACAAACCAUGAUGUCAUUAAUUUGGUGUUAUGGGAAAUCAGGACUGUUACUUUGAAAAAAUUAGAGUGUUUAAAGCAGGCUCACGCUUGAAUACAUUAGCAUGGAAUAAUGAAAUAGGACGUUCGAUCCUAUUUUGUUGGUUUCUAGGAUUGACGUAAUGAUUAAUAGGGAUAGUUGGGGGCAUUAGUAUUCAAUUGUCAGAGGUGAAAUUCUUGGAUUUAUUGAAGACUAACUACUGCGAAAGCAUUUGCCAAGGAUGUUUUCAUUAAUCAAGAACGAAAGUUAGGGGAUCGAAGACGAUCAGAUACCGUCGUAGUCUUAACCAUAAACUAUGCCGACUAGGGAUCGGAUGAUGUUAAUUUUUUAAUGACUCAUUCGGCGCCUUACG